AGUAAAGUCAGCUAAUAAAGCUCCCGGACCCAUACCCCUGAGAUGUAGGUGAAAAUCCUUCCUUUACUA
RNAcentral lists this transfer RNA (69 nucleotides) under Plesiolebias aruana. Its description in RNAcentral is "tRNA-Met". It matches the Rfam family "tRNA". Rfam says of the family: Transfer RNA (tRNA) molecules are approximately 80 nucleotides in length. Lineage: Eukaryota; Metazoa; Chordata; Actinopteri; Cyprinodontiformes; Rivulidae. The record is from RNAcentral.